UAGGGAAUCUUCCGCAAUGGGCGAAAGCCUGACGGAGCAACGCCGCGUGAGUGAUGAAGGUCUUCGGAUCGUAAAACUCUGUUAUUAGGGAAGAACAAAUGUGUAAGUAACUAUGCACGUCUUGACGGUACCUAAUCAGAAAGCCACGGCUAACUACGUGCCAGCAGCCGCGGUAAUACGUAGGUGGCAAGCGUUAUCCGGAAUUAUUGGGCGUAAAGCGCGCGUAGGCGGUUUUUUAAGUCUGAUGUGAAAGCCCACGGCUCAACCGUGGAGGGUCAUUUGAAACUGGAAAACUGGAGUGCAGAAGAGGAAAGUGGAAUUCCAUGUGUAGCGGUGAAAUGCGCAGAGAUAUGGAGGAACACCAGUGGCGAAGGCGACUUUCUGGUCUGUAACUGACGCUGAUGUGCGAAAGCGUGGGGAUCAAACAGG
Molecule: ribosomal RNA, 429 nt
Filed under: Actinomycetes bacterium
Lineage: Bacteria; Bacillati; Actinomycetota; Actinomycetes
Description: Actinobacteria bacterium partial 16S ribosomal RNA
Rfam family: Bacterial small subunit ribosomal RNA
Source: RNAcentral